This 251-nucleotide ribosomal RNA is filed under the name Brevibacillus borstelensis. RNAcentral's name for it is "partial 16S ribosomal RNA". It matches the Rfam family "Bacterial small subunit ribosomal RNA", at positions 1285 to 1533 of the family's 1533-position model. The record is from RNAcentral. Lineage: Bacteria; Bacillati; Bacillota; Bacilli; Caryophanales; Paenibacillaceae.
GUCUAAGUUCGGAUUGCAGUCUGCAACUCGCCUGCAUGAAGUCGGAAUCGCUAGUAAUCGCGGAUCAGCAUGGCGGGGUGAAUACGUUCCCGGGCCUUGUACACACCGCCCGUCACACCACGGGAGUUUGCUACACCCGAAGUCCGUGGGGUAACCGCAAGGAGGCCGCUUCCCAAGGUGGGGUAGAUGACUGGGGUGAAGUCGUAACAAGGUAGCCGUACCGGAAGGUGCGGGUGGAUCACCUCCAUAAU